CCGGUCGUGUAUCUAUUUACAGAUACAAUGAUGGGCAGAGAUCAUGGCUGGAAGCCAUUCGUUUGCCUGGCCAUGCAACUAGUAAUGGAGUGCCCCGUGGUGUCUUGGAUGUUGCAUGGGCA
This 122-nucleotide non-coding RNA is filed under the name Thalassiosira antarctica. Lineage: Eukaryota; Bacillariophyta; Thalassiosirophyceae; Thalassiosirales; Thalassiosiraceae. The record is from RNAcentral.